RNAcentral lists this ribosomal RNA (512 nucleotides) under uncultured bacterium. RNAcentral describes it as "bacterial SSU rRNA". It matches the Rfam family "Bacterial small subunit ribosomal RNA", at positions 8 to 526 of the family's 1533-position model. The record is from RNAcentral.
AGAGUUUGAUCAUGGCUCAGAAUCAACGCUGGCGGCGUGCCUAACACAUGCAAGUCGCACGAGAAAGGGUAGCAAUACCUGAGUAAAGUGGCGCACGGGUGAGUAACACGUGAAUUAUCUACCUCCGAGUGGGGAAUAACUGAGAGAAAUCUUAGCUAAUACCGCAUAACACUUACGAGUCAAAGCAGCAAUGCGCUUGGAGAGGAGUUCGCGGCAGAUUAGUUAGUUGGCGGGGUAAUGGCCCACCAAGACGAUGAUCUGUAUCCGGCCUGAGAGGGCGGACGGACACACUGGAACUGAGACACGGUCCAGACUCCUACGGGAGGCAGCAGUAGGGAAUUGUUCGCAAUGGGCGCAAGCCUGACGACGCAACGCCGCGUGGAGGAUGAAGACCUUCGGGUCGUAAACUCCUUUCGACCGAGAUGAACACUCACCGGCCUAAUACGCUGGUGGAUUGACAGUAUCGAGGGAAGAAGCCCCGGCUAACUCCGUGCCAGCAGCCGCGGUAAUAC